This is a non-coding RNA of Roseiflexus sp. RS-1, 2936 nucleotides long. The record is from Rfam. NCBI's taxonomy places the organism in Bacteria, Bacillati, Chloroflexota, Chloroflexia, Chloroflexales, Roseiflexaceae.
CAGGGAAGACAGAAGGAGCACACGGAGGAUGCCUCGGCGCUGCGCGCCGAUGAAGGACGCGGCAAGGCGGCGAUAUGCGUGGGGGAGCCGCGUGCAGGCUGUGAUCCCACGAUCUCCGAAUGGGGCAACCCGUCCGUUCCGACGGACACCGCCAAUGGCGGAGGGCACCGGGGGAACUGAAACAUCUCAGUACCCCGAGGAAGAGAAAGCAUCCCCGUAGUAGUGGCGAGCGAACCGGGGGCAGCCUAAACCACGACCGUGGCAAGGAGGCAGCCGUUGCGGUCGUGGGGUUGCAGGGAGAGACCCGAGGGGGCUGCCUUCCCCCUCCACGCGCGUGAUGCGUCAGACGAAGCCGACUGGAAAGCGGCGCCGGAGAGCGUGACAGCCGCGUAGUCGACGGCGCGUCCGCGCGUGAGUCUCUUGCCUGAGUAGCGCCGGACACGAGCAACCCGGCGUGAAGCGGGGGCGACCACGCUCCAAGGCUAACUACGCGCAGCGACCGAUAGUGGACCAGUACCGUGAGGGAACGGUGAAAAGCACCCCGGCGAGGGGAGUGAAAGAGAACCUGAAACCGUGUGCUUACACGCAGUCGGAGCCUCCUUCGGGAGGUGACGGCGUGCCUUUUGGAGUAUGAUCCGGCGAGUUGCCCUCUGUGGCCCGGUUAAGGCAGUCACAGCCGGAGCCAGAGCGAACGCGAGUCUGAACAGGGCGCACGGUCGCAGGGGGCAGACCCGAAACCGCUUGAGCUACCCAUGGGCAGGGUGAAGCGCGCGUAACGGCGCGUGGAGGCCCGCACCGGUGUGGAUUGCAAACCGCUCGGAUGACCUGUGGGUAGGGGUGAAAUGCCAAUCGAAAGCGGAGAUAGCUGGUUCUCCCCGAAAUGCAUUGAGGUGCAGCCUGCGGCAGGGGCGCGCGGAGGUAGAGCGCUGGUGUGGUGCGGGGGCUUCACCGCCUGCCAAACGACGCCAAACUGCGAAUGCCGCGCGGUCGCCCGCAGAGUGAGACGUGCGGCGCAAACGUUGUACGUCGAGAGGGAAACAACCCAGACCUGCAGCUAAGGUCCCGAAAUCGACCCUGAGUGGGAAAGGAUGUGGCGGUGCGCAGACAACCAGGAGGUUGGCUUAGAAGCAGCCAUCCUUGAAAGAGUGCGUAACAGCUCACUGGUCGAGUGCCGCUGCGCCGACAAUCCAGCGGGGCAAAGGGUCGUACCGAAGCUCAGGACCGUCAGGGUGGUAGGGGAGCGUCGUGGACGCGGCGAAGCGGCGGCGGAAGCCAGCCGUGGAGCGUCGACGAGUGCGAAUGCCGGAACGAGUAACAGAGAAGCGGGGUGCGAACCCCCGCCACCGGAAGCCUGAGGGUUCCGCCGCAAGGGUGAUCCGCGGCGGGUUAGUCGGGCCUAAGGGGAUGCGCAAGCAGCACCCGAUGGACAACAGGUAGACAGUCCUGUACCAGGAAUGGGCCGUUUGACGGAUGCGGGACGCUGAGGGGUAGGCGCGGCGGUCAGACGAGGACCGUCCAAGCCGGUAGGGAGACGGCGGAGGCAAGUCCGCGCCGUCGCUGACCGAGAGGCGAGUGCGAGCGGGCGCCAUCCGGCGCACCGCAAGCGCGCUGAACCCGAACAGCCGAGAAAGGCCUGCUACGGAGGACCAUUCCUGCCCGUACCGCAAACCGACACAGGUAGGCUGGCUGAGGAAGCUCAGGUGGACGAGUGAUCCCUGGUUAAGGAACUCGGCAAAUUGACCCCGUACCUUCGGAAGAAGGGGUGCUCGGGGGGUGAACUCCGUCCGGAGGGAGCCCCGCCGAGUCGCAGCAAAGCGGCCCAGGCGACUGGUUACCAGAACCACAGGUCCGUGCUGAAGCCGAAAGGCGACGUAUACGGGCUGAUGCCUGCCCAGUGCCGGAAGGUUAAGGGGAGGGCUGCACGGUCUGAACCGAAGCCCCGGUGAACGGCGGCUGUAACUAUAACAGUCCUAAGGUAGCGAAAUUCCUUGUCGGGUAAGUUCCGACCCGCACGAAAGGCAUCACGAUCUGGGCAGUGUCUCGACCAGGGGCUCGGUGAAACUGCGCUGGCCGUUAGGACGCGGCCAACCCGUAGCAGGACAAAAAGACCCCGUGGAGCUUUACUACAGCUUGCCAUUGUGCGCGCUCCGCGCUUGCGUAGGAUAGGUGGGAGCCGGAGAACGCGCCCUUGCGGGGGCGCGGGAGGCGCCGGUGAAAUACCACUCUGGCGCGGCGUGCGCCCUCACCCGUGGAGCACGGGGACCGUGGCUGGCGGGUAGUUUGUCUGGGGCGGACGCCUCCUAAAAGGUAACGGAGGCGCGCAAUGGCGCCCUCAGGCGGGAUGGCAAUCCGCCGUGGAGUGCAAAGGCAGAAGGGCGCUUGACUGCAAGGCGGACAUGCCGCGCAGAGACGAAAGUCGGCCUUAGUGAUCCUACGGUACCGCGUGGAAGGGCCGUAGCAUAACGGAUAAAAGCUACCCCGGGGAUAACAGGCUGAUCGUGCCCAAGAGUUCACAUCGACGGCACGGUUUGGCACCUCGAUGUCGGCUCGUCGCAUCCUGGGGCUGGAGUCGGUCCCAAGGGUUGGGCUGUUCGCCCAUUAAAGCGGCACGCGAGCUGGGUUCAGAACGUCGUGAGACAGUUCGGUCUCUAUCCGCUACGGGCGCAUAGUGGCGUGCGGGGAGCUGCUCUUAGUACGAGAGGACCGGAGUGGACGGACCGCUGGUGGAGGAGUUGUGGGGCGGCCCGCAGGCUCCGUAGCCAUGUCCGGAGGCAAGAACCGCUGAAAGCAUCUAAGUGGGAAAUGCCCCCCAAGAUGACGCCACUCACGGCAGCAGGCCGGUAAGUCCCCCGGCAGACGACCGGGAAGGCGGCGCCAGCUGGAGGCCCCGUGAGGGGUAGAGGCGAGGCGUGCGCAUGGACGAGGGCUUCCCUGCU